UACGAAGGGUGCAAGCGUUACUCGGAAUUACUGGGCGUAAAGCGCGUGUAGGCGGCUUUGCAAGUCGGAUGUGAAAGCCCACGGCUCAACCGUGGAAGUGCAUCCGAAACUGCAUGGCUUGAGUCUCGGAGAGGAAGGUGGAAUGCUUGGUGUAGAGGUGAAAUUCGUAGAUAUCAAGCAGAACACCUGCGGCGAAGGCGGCCUUCUGGACGAUGACUGACGCUGAGACGCGAAAGCGUGGGGAGCAAACAGG
Molecule: ribosomal RNA, 253 nt
Filed under: uncultured bacterium
Lineage: Bacteria
Description: partial 16S ribosomal RNA
Rfam family: Bacterial small subunit ribosomal RNA
Source: RNAcentral